This 564-nucleotide ribosomal RNA is filed under the name uncultured eukaryote. RNAcentral describes it as "bacterial SSU rRNA". It matches the Rfam family "Eukaryotic small subunit ribosomal RNA", at positions 1098 to 1673 of the family's 1831-position model. The record is from RNAcentral.
UCAGGAGUAUUCGGGUUCCGGGGGGAGUAUGGUCGCAAGGCCGAAACUUAAGGAAUUGACGGAAGGGCACCACCAGGAGUGGAAUCUGCGGCUUAAUUUGACUCAACGCGGGAAAACUCACCAGGUCAGGACACGGUAAGGAUUGACGGACUGAAGGCUCUUUCUCGAUUCCGUGGAAAGUGGUGCAUGGCCGUUUUUGGUUGGUGGAUCGAUCCGUCUGGUUAAUUCCGUUAACGAACGAGACCUCGGCACUCCGAAUAGCGCGGCGGACGUCGCGGCCUCCGGGCCGUCUUCCGCACGAGCUUCUUAGAGGGACCGUCCCCCGCCGGGGAAGGAGGUGCGAGGCAACGACAGGUCUGUGAUGCCCUUAGAUGUUCUGGGCCGCACGCGCAUUACACUGACGCGUCCAACGGGUGACUCCCGACCCGAAGGGGCCGGGGAAUCCGCAAGGCGCGUCGUGAUGGGGAUUGAACGUUGCAAUUGUUGUUCACGAACGAGGAAUUCCUAGUAGGCGCGGGUCAUCAACCCGCGCCGAUUACGUCCCUGCCCUUUGUACACACCGCC